AACGAACGCUGGCGGCAGGCCUAACACAUGCAAGUCGAGCGGACAUCUUCGGAUGUUAGCGGCGGACGGGUGAGUAACGCGUGGGAACGUGCCCUUUGCUUCGGAAUAGCCUCGGGAAACUGGGAGUAAUACCGGAUGUACCCUUUGGGGGAAAGAUUUAUCGGCAAAGGAUCGGUCCGCGUUGGAUUAGGUAGUUGGUGGGGUAAUGGCCUACCAAGCCGACGAUCCAUAGCUGGUUUGAGAGGAUGAUCAGCCACACUGGGACUGAGACACGGCCCAGACUCCUACGGGAGGCAGCAGUGGGGAAUCUUAGACAAUGGGGGAAACCCUGAUCUAGCCAUGCCGCGUGAGCGAUGAAGGCCUUAGGGUUGUAAAGCUCUUUCACCGGGGAAGAUAAUGACGGUACCCGGAGAAGAAGCCCCGGCUAACUCCGUG
Molecule: ribosomal RNA, 435 nt
Filed under: uncultured bacterium
Lineage: Bacteria
Description: partial 16S ribosomal RNA
Rfam family: Bacterial small subunit ribosomal RNA
Source: RNAcentral